CAGCUUUGUAGUUUAAUUUGUUAGAAUCUUAAUUUUGGGGGUUAAGGGUCUCUUNGUUUUGUUGGAGUUGGCUGG
Molecule: transfer RNA, 75 nt
Filed under: Fasciolopsis buskii
Lineage: Eukaryota; Metazoa; Platyhelminthes; Trematoda; Plagiorchiida; Fasciolidae
Description: Fasciolopsis buski tRNA-Pro
Source: RNAcentral